GCGUGUAGUCUCCCCUGCGCCCCGGCACCACCACCACCUACUGUCUCCACCUUCACUUUGUUGUUCUCACGCCCGCCGCCAGGACGCUGUGUCCCGCACGCCGGCCACACCCUCGUCUUGCUUUCCUGUCUUCCUCAGCUCUUCUUCUUCACGUCAUCUGCCUCAUUAACAUAAACGUUCUGGGCGCGACAAAGUUGCCACAGCAAUCCAAACUCUUGUUGCCAUUCUCAACAAUCUAUGCAAGCACACUUGGACCUCUGCAUGACAGGUGAAAGCGAGUGCCUCUUGUUCGUCGUGUUAUGCUUAUGAAACGUGAUUGUUAUUCUCGGCUCAUGAAUUAUCCUCCAUCCACCACAUCCUCCAUCUCCAUCACCGGCACUGUCACUUCCAUCCCCGGCACCCUUCGCUGCCUGCACGUGUUGCCCGCCGUCAGCUCUCCAGCCAGUGGAUGUCAGCCGGGGUGUUGACUGUGACGUCAGCUCCAUUGACAGACGCCCCAUCCCCCCCUUAGUGUACCGGGAUUCAAGCCGACUCCGGCCUGUCCAACAAGUCUUUCUCAAACCCCCCGAGAUAUCUCUAACUCUCAGCAAUAAAGUGUCUCCGCCGCACAGGAGGCUGACGAGAGCCGCCCACGUCACCUGCUCCGAGCUCCAUUCAGCAAUACAGGCCGCCCGCCGACCUACAACAGCCUCCAGUAAUAUGUAAAGUGCGUAAACCCUCUGGAUCCCUGACAGUCAAGCUCAAGCCCCGUGAGGUCCUCGCAAAUCCCGUCCCAAGACAGGAUCCCAACACCCUUCGUGUUCCGGUCCCGUCCCAAGACAGAAGAAAAAGUGCCCGGUACUCUCCCGUCGUCGAACCCGUUCCAGGAAAAGGUCCAGCUUCGCCCUUCCAGCCUCGGCCCCGUCCCACUUCGCUGCGACCCAGACCCUCGAACUUCCAGCCUCGGUCCCGUCCCUGGAGGAUAAAAAAUUAAGUCCCAUCCCAAGCAGUCCCCUCGGACCCCCCCCUCGGCCGCUCACUCCCUGCCACCUCCCCUCUAUAGUUCGUGGCGUCCCUCCACCACCACCAGAAGGCAAUACUUGAAGUGCUUCCGCGUGCGACUCGCGUGGAGGCAGGGAAGCUCUCUGAACUCCGAGGUUCUGUGGUGAAGUUGGACACUCAGGAGAGGCCUCAAGCUCGAGCUCUUCUGGAGAGGAACCGACUAGAGCUGAAAUAAAAGAUAAGUUUCCGUAGGGUUUCGCUCUCCUCGAGCCACAGCCCUUCCGAGAAAGCGCAAGAGGGAGGCUAUGGGCAUACGACUCGAUAUUCUGAGUUCCUAAAGCUCAAGGUCCAGAUUGGAUUCCUGGGGGCUGACACUGAAGAAUCACCCCCUCCCCCCUCCCGUAACCCCUGACAGUCCCCGCUGCCAGAAGGUCGUCCCGGGUGAUGACCAGACGACACGCAGAGGAAAUUAAACAUAUUUGCUGAGUCUUCCUGAUUCUCGGGUUGUCUCCGCCCGCGGUGGUUGAUACAGCCCUCCCGCCUUGAGAGUCAGCCGCCCACUCACUGUGUUGCCGCGGCCUAGAUAAUGCAAGAGCUGUCUGUUGUGUUGCGUAACUGGUGUUAUUGUUAAAUUUUGAAGAAAAGGUUAUAUCAAAGUUGAUUAUUAUAUCUGUACAGUGUCUUUCCAUGGGAGCAAUACCAGAAGUCACACUAUCCAUCAGGAACUCCAGAGAUAGCAGUACCGUGCACCGAGUACAAAGCUCUUGUGACCUCCGCCGCCACACAGCGCUGGCAGUCUGAGCUCACACAGGGCACCUCCCGCACUCUCAUAGCAAUAAUUACAACUUAAGUUCGUGUUUGUCUCGUCGACACCGCCUCAACACACGACAACAUGGCCGGAAGAUUCGCCGGAGCCCGCAUGGGCAUGACCACCCAGAAGAAGAAUGACGCCAACAUGAACAAGAGAAACCGAAGCAAGGACUUAUCCCAUAAUAGUAUCCAGCCCUCUCACGGCAGACGGGGCUCCAUUCUCUCGACCAUCUCAAAUAUCGGAGGGAGCAAGGUAUACUGUCGACCCUCUUCCAUCUGGCAUGUCUUAUCUCACUUGGUAUGAGAGGCGGAGGUGCUUCGAGUCAGUCAGCCCACCCGGAGAAGGAGGCGCCUGUCGCGUGCUCGCUGCCCUUCGCUUGCCGAGUCCUAGGAGACCUCCUGACCUCGUGUCCGUGCGGCUGGCCCCUCUGCGGGAGCCUUCCGUGACGUGAGACCAAGAGAUCUUCUUU
This 2261-nucleotide long non-coding RNA is filed under the name Penaeus monodon (black tiger shrimp). RNAcentral's name for it is "uncharacterized LOC119593156". Lineage: Eukaryota; Metazoa; Arthropoda; Malacostraca; Decapoda; Penaeidae. The record is from RNAcentral.